Molecule: long non-coding RNA, 633 nt
Organism: Cyprinodon tularosa
Lineage: Eukaryota; Metazoa; Chordata; Actinopteri; Cyprinodontiformes; Cyprinodontidae
Exons: 3
Source: RefSeq, a predicted model, not a curated record
AUAGAACAUUAAAGAAAUGAGAUGCUUAACUUUGUUUACUGCAAACUUUCAUGCAACUUUGGUAGAAAACUGCUGAUGUUUGUGCAAGGAUAAUCACAGUCAUCGGGAGACCGCUCUAUUCUGUGAUUCAAUCAAGAGGAGCAUUUUGUCCUAUGACCCGAUCAAUUUCCUUGUCAGAAGAACACUGUUCUGUAACCCACCCCAUGUGUUAUGAUCUGCUAAUAAAAGGCUUCUGCUGAGGAGACCCAUCAGAGAGCAGAUGUGGCUGAACGUGGCUCUCUCCUCCAGCAGGACCUAAAAUCCCUAUGCUGUGCGGACUUUCAUUUAUCAUGAACCUACAAUUUUGAACGUAACAGAAGUGACUGAAAUAGUUUGUCGCUGGGGUGCGAGGGAUCAGCCACAAUCUUCCCUGCACGCCUCGGAGUCCUGGAGGUGUACAAAUCCUGGAGAGAUGGAAGAUUUCACUCAACCACUGAUGAGCUGGAAGAAUUACAGCAAACAAGGAACAAAUCCCAACCUGCGCUCUAAAAACACUUCUGUUUCAUUUGAAGUUAAACAGAAAUAAAUAUAAAGGGUGGUGCCCUGUCCUCGUUGGGCCUCCCUGCACACCUGUGGCUCGUUGGUCAUUACCAG